UGGGGAAUAUUGCACAAUGGGGGAAACCCUGAUGCAGCGACGCCGCGUGAGCGAUGAAGUAUUUCGGUAUGUAAAGCUCUAUCAGCAGGGAAGAAAAUGACGGUACCUGACCUAAGAAGCCCCGGCUAACUACGUGCCAGCAGCCG
Molecule: ribosomal RNA, 146 nt
Filed under: uncultured bacterium
Lineage: Bacteria
Description: partial 16S ribosomal RNA
Rfam family: Bacterial small subunit ribosomal RNA
Source: RNAcentral